CCAGCUGCCUCUCUGAUCUGGUGCAUCAUGAGAGCUAGGAGGUUCAGAGCUACCUCUUGAAUCAUGCAAUGCAUAACCACAACGUCCCCCUUGGAUACAAAGUCAAAUCGGCUAGUCUUCAAAAAAAGAAUCCAUCCAAUACCAUGAUGGAGAAGUUGGAUCUCGACUAACAAUUGGUUGGCAUAAAGUUCUGUAAUCCCCUCUACAUCCGAUCUCUCUAAAAUAUCAUUCAAUGCAUCCUUUCGACUUGAUGGAUGUGUGGGUGUUAGACCUUACCUAGGGAGAUGCCAAAUUCUUCCCAAUCUCUGUUCUGUCAGAAUAAAUUUAACUCUUUUGACCAUGCAUUCCACUCUUGAACCUCUUUUUGUAGGGCUGUAGAACUCUCUUACAUAACUAGGAUAGGUCAAAAGGUCUAAACUAUGGAAGAAGUCCCAUCCCUACUAUCGUAUCCACUACCCUUGCCUGAAUCCUUCUCGAUCAAGGAACACAAAGUCCAUCUUAUAGGUAGUGGUCACUACCUGGUCACCAAGGGAA
This 534-nucleotide long non-coding RNA is filed under the name Elaeis guineensis (African oil palm). Its description in RNAcentral is "long non-coding RNA (EGUI_LNC081842)". The record is from RNAcentral. Lineage: Eukaryota; Viridiplantae; Streptophyta; Magnoliopsida; Arecales; Arecaceae.